This 491-nucleotide ribosomal RNA is filed under the name uncultured bacterium. Its description in RNAcentral is "bacterial SSU rRNA". It matches the Rfam family "Bacterial small subunit ribosomal RNA", at positions 29 to 507 of the family's 1533-position model. The record is from RNAcentral.
AACAAACGCUGGCGGCGUGUCUUAAGCAUGCAAGUUGAGCGGCAAGGAGGAGAGAUCCUCCCUAGAGCGGCGGACUGGUGAGUAACGCGUGGGUAAUCUAUCGUAGGCAUGGGGAUAGUCACUAGAAAUAGUGGGUAAUACCGAAUACGUUCCAUGAGGGGAGUAUUCAUGGAAGAAAGGGUGCUACGGCACUGGCCUUAGGUGAGCUCGCGUCCCAUUAGCUAGUUGGUGAGGUAAAGGCCCACCAAGGCGAUGAUGGGUAGCCGGCCUGAGAGGGUGUACGGCCACACUGGGACUGAGAUACGGCCCAGACUCCUACGGGAGGCAGCAGCUAAGAAUAUUCCGCAAUGGACGAAAGUCUGACGGAGCGACGCCGCGUGGAUGAAGAAGGCCGAAAGGUUGUAAAAUCCUUUUGUUGGGGAAGAAUAACCAUGGGAGGGAAUGCCCGUGGGAUGACAUGAACCGACGAAUAAGUCCCGGCUAACUACGUG